Molecule: transfer RNA, 69 nt
Filed under: Pteroctopus tetracirrhus
Lineage: Eukaryota; Metazoa; Mollusca; Cephalopoda; Octopoda; Octopodidae
Description: tRNA-Glu
Source: RNAcentral
AUUUUUGUGGUGUAUGAGCACGAAAGAUUUUCAAUUUUUAGGAGUAAGUAUUAUUUUUUAUCAAAAGUU